AGGAGGAGAGAGCAGGAGAAAAGAAAGGUGAGGUGACGAGGUACAGCGACGAGAUGCCUGGAGAAAUGAAAACCAAACAAAACCAGGAAAAUAACAAACCCCCAAAACAAACCCCCCUUUACAAAGCUGAAUGCUUUUUUUUUUUUGUGGAGAAGCAAAAAGUCCUCCCCAAAAACCACCAGUCAGGGAGGCUGUGGAGAGGAUGGCAGGGGAGAGGGCCUUUGAGGCCACGUGGGCUGGGAGGGAGGCAGCCAGGGGCUCUGAGACAAGCACAAACACUGAGAGCCCCUCUGCCUCUCCAGCCCAGACACCAUCACAAUGAACAACAGCGAGGGCAGAAUGGAGAAGCAAAAUGGGCAUGUUUCCAGGGAGUGGGGAAGCGGAAGGGGUGCUGCUGGCAGCGUGGUGCAGGCCCCUGAGGGCCAGGGCAGUGGAGAGCAGACACGGACAGACAGCAUGGGGCAGGCGUGCAGCUCAGGAGUGGGUCUGAGCCCCACCAGUGGGCCCUGGGCAGGGGGCCAUGCUGGGCACGAAGCUUCCUUUUGAGAGCCCGAGGUGGUGGCAGCCAGGGCCUUGGUGCAAACCCUGCCUGCUGCCCAGGGUAGGGUGCAAUUGAGCCGAAGUCAAAGGGGCUUCUCAGUACUGCCAGACCCUUCCUCCUGACCACCCACCUAGGCAGCUACAGGCUGCACUCACAUGGUACUGAAGAAUGCAGGCACCUCCAUGCCUCCCAGAGCCCAAGGGUGCAUGGAGGGCAUGCCUCGCUGAGGCUGGGGCAGGUUGUGCUUCUCUAACAGAUGAACCAGAGAACCCACGCCCUACAUGUGCCUAUGCACUGACACACGGGGGCUGUGUGUGGGUGAGAUUUCAACUGCCCCUGCUCGUCUGUUUGCUGCUCUAAGCAGGUCCUCCUUCAGAGCUCAGACCUCAGAGAGAAAGGCCGAGUCCAGGCCCUCACGCUAUUACCAGCAUCUCUGACAGACCCCCCCAGCCCCUCCUGCACUCUGCUAAUGAAGGGGAGCUCACCGACUGGCCAGGCCGCUCAUUGGAACGGGCAGCCCAGUGACCAAAUGUCUCCUUGGUCUUUUAGUACCCUCCUGCCCACACUGUCUUCUGGGCCACACAGAGACAUUUACACUUUCUUCCUUUCUGGGUUUGGAAAUGGCAGCCAUACUAUCCAUGAUCUUCUCCAAACUCUAGUUCCCCCUCCCAUUUCUCCUAAGUGCUAUUCCUCAGGCCUUGCUGUGGGCUGACCUCUGCUCAUAGUCCAGGUGGCCCGACACAGCACAGUGCCCCUCCAGCCUGGGCCCUGAAUGGGGGAUGACUGCACAACAGUGGGAUUGGUGACCCUAGGAGACCAUGUGUGGGAUGCACAUGAGGUAAGAAGGACCAGGAGAGACGGGAAGAAUGGCCACCACAGCUGUCAGUAUGAGGCCAGCUUCUGACUCCCUCCCAUGCCUGUGGAUGCCCUACAGUGUCCAUUCUGGGUGGCAAGGGGCAGGAAGCAGGGAGGGGCUCCAUACUCCUGGGGCAGCCCACUGAGGACAGGCAGUCCCUGGAUCUGACACCCUUAGCCCUGACAUCUUGCUGGAAUGUCCCAGGGCUCUAAGGAACAGGUGCUCUCUGGGAUCUGCUGAAAUACCUGUCAACCUGUCACCUGGUUGGGAGGUGUCCUUGGGUGAAUCAGUGUCUGGGUGGGGCCCUCCCCGACUCCCCAGGCACAUGGGAACCCUUCCUGGUCAUGUGCUCAGCUGGGGUCCAGGCUGCUCUGGCUGGGCAGGUGUGGGGGAAGUUUAUCAGUGACUCCACUACUCCACCUUGCAUAGCUGGACUUCUGAGUCCAGUUGCUGUCUAGAGAGAGACCAGAAAUGGGGAAGGACAAUGCCUAUCUGGGGAGUACCCUGGGGGGGCUGUGAAGUCAACUUCUGAGUUUAGGUUCCUCUGCAAAGAAUCCUGGCGGCAGCUAACAAGGCAGGAGAAAGCCUUGUUGGACACAGGAAGUACAUGGCAUCCAUCUGUCAUUUUCCAGCUUUGGGAAUUGUGAGGGCUCAGGAUGUGUUCCGCCCACAGGCAGCUCCUGAUCCAGUGCCAGAGGCAAUUCCAUGCGGAACAAUCCAGAGGCCCCUUCCUUCCGGCCAUGUGAUGGAGGAUGAGAGAGUAUGGAGUGGCACCUUCUGGUGUAGGCCCACCCAACCCUGCUGUCAGUCACUGGUGGGAGCCCUGGACCCUUCUCUCUGGCUGGCGUGGCCCAGGCCUUCAGUGACUGCCCCUACCCUCCACCUAAGGUGAGAAACCAGGGACAGACAGAGUAACUGAGGCCUCAGACUUCAGUCUCAGUUUCCCCAAAACUCCAACACUUUCUUCCAUCCAGGCACGGCCAGGACUUUUGCUCCAUUAGCACAAGGCCUGUAUCUGUCUUGCUUACACCUGGCACAAGGCCCAGCCUGGAGCACUGGCUCAGGAAUCAUCUGCUAAAUGGAGUGGAAUCAUCCAUCGCCCAUUAGAUGAGGACUUGCGGGCAGCGAGGCCUUCUACCACCGCCAUUGGGGCCUCAGGAAGGGGAGGCCUCUGGACGGCACAGGACACCUUACCCGCAAGGAGCUUUCUCAGCAACACAGUGUAUGUGUUAAUAAAUGUGAAACAGGAUGAGAA
Equus caballus (horse) is the source of this 2652-nucleotide non-coding RNA. The record is from RefSeq and is a predicted model, not a curated record. Lineage: Eukaryota; Metazoa; Chordata; Mammalia; Perissodactyla; Equidae.